This 512-nucleotide long non-coding RNA is filed under the name Lathyrus oleraceus (garden pea). Its description in RNAcentral is "Pisum sativum (pea) long non-coding RNA (PSAT_LNC038700)". The record is from RNAcentral. Lineage: Eukaryota; Viridiplantae; Streptophyta; Magnoliopsida; Fabales; Fabaceae.
ACAACAUUUUCAUCAUUCACACAAUUCAAUCAAAUUUCAUGGGUUUAAAAUAAGAUUUACAUCUUUCCCACAAUUCAAUCAAAUUUCAUGGGGUUAAUACCAACAUUUUUAUGAUUAACAAUAUUCAAUCAGAUUGCAUGGGUUUAACAACAUUGUUUUCAUCAUUUCCACAAUUUAAUCAAAUUUCAUGGGUUUAACAAUAAUAUUUUAAUUAUUCACACAAUUCAAUCAGAUUUCAUGGGUUAACCAACAACAUUUUCAUCAUCCAAACAAUUCAAUCAAAUUUCACGGGUUUAAAACAUGAUUUACAUCAUUCCCGCAAUUCAAUUAAAUUUCAUGUGUUUAACACCAACAUUUUUAUGGUUAACAAUAUUCAAUCUAAUUUCAUGUGUUUAACAACAAUAUUUUCAUCAUUACCAUAAUUUAAUCAAAUUUCAUGGGUUUAAAAAUAAUAUUUUAAUUAUUCACACAAUUUAAUCAAAUUUCAUGGGUUUAAUAACAAUAUUUUAAUC